CCUACGGGAGGCAGCAGUGAGGAAUAUUGGUCAAUGGCCGGAAGGCUGAACCAGCCAUGCCGCGUGAAGGGCAGAGGCCUAUGGGCGGUAAACUUCUUUUGGGCGGGAGCAAGAAUGGUAACGUGUGGCCAGACGAGAGUACCGUACGAAGAAGCAUCGGCUAACUCCGUGCCAGCAGCCGCGGUAAUACGGGGGAUGCAAGCGUGAUCGGGAUUUAUUGGGUUUCACGGGUGCGUAGGCGGUGAGGUACGUCAGCGGUGAAAGGCCCCCGCUCAACGGGGUGAAGUGCCAUUGAUACUGCCUUGCUGGACUGCGGAUGCCGUGGGAGGCAUGU
RNAcentral lists this ribosomal RNA (334 nucleotides) under uncultured bacterium. RNAcentral describes it as "partial 16S ribosomal RNA". It matches the Rfam family "Bacterial small subunit ribosomal RNA", at positions 338 to 669 of the family's 1533-position model. The record is from RNAcentral.